AUGUGGCUGGGGAGGGAGGAGACGGCGGCGGCCGCUGCGGCGGAGACCCCGGCGGUGGGGGCGAGCAUGUACAUGAGCACGAAGUUGAGGAUGGAUCCGACGACGAGGGUGGAGAAGACGAAGUCGAGCUCGUUGAGGCCGAAGUUGGGGCGCGACGACAUGUCGCCGAGCACGCAGGCGGUGACGCCGACCAGCUCCUCCAUGAGCACCUUGAACGGGAACUGGGGAUCCGCGGCGACGCGGGCCGCCCACCCGGCGAGGAACAUGCCGAGGAUGCCUGCGCGGCCGCCGGCACCGUCUCCGGCGCCCCCGGAGUCCGCCGCGUCGCCAGAUCCGCCGCGCGAGAUGCGGGGAGGUUUUGGGGGGUUGGUGUGA
This 375-nucleotide ribosomal RNA is filed under the name Triticum aestivum (bread wheat). RNAcentral describes it as "partial small subunit ribosomal RNA". Lineage: Eukaryota; Viridiplantae; Streptophyta; Magnoliopsida; Poales; Poaceae. The record is from RNAcentral.